GAUGAACGCUGGCGGCGUGCCUAAUACAUGCAAGUCGAGCGAAUGGAUUAAGAGCUUGCUCUUAUGAAGUUAGCGGCGGACGGGUGAGUAACACGUGGGUAACCUGCCCAUAAGACUGGGAUAACUCCGGGAAACCGGGGCUAAUACCGGAUAACAUUUUGAACCGCAUGGUUCGAAAUUGAAAGGCGGCUUCGGCUGUCACUUAUGGAUGGACCCG
Molecule: ribosomal RNA, 217 nt
Filed under: Bacillus sp. CSB-7
Lineage: Bacteria; Bacillati; Bacillota; Bacilli; Caryophanales; Bacillaceae
Description: partial 16S ribosomal RNA
Rfam family: Bacterial small subunit ribosomal RNA
Source: RNAcentral